CUAAUACCGCAUAACGUCGCAAGACCAAAGAGGGGGACCUUCGGGCCUCUUGCCAUCAGAUGUGCCCAGAUGGGAUUAGCUAGUAGGUGGGGUAAUGGCUCACCUAGGCGACGAUCCCUAGCUGGUCUGAGAGGAUGACCAGCCACACUGGAACUGAGACACGGUCCAGACUCCUACGGGAGGCAGCAGUGGGGAAUAUUGCACAAUGGGCGCAAGCCUGAUGCAGCCAUGCCGCGUGUAUGAAGAAGGCCUUCGGGUUGUAAAGUACUUUCAGCGGGGAGGAAGGCGAUAAGGUUAAUAACCUUGUCGAUUGACGUUACCCGCAGAAGAAGCACCGGCUAACUCCGUGCCAGCAGCCGCGGUAAUACGGAGGGUGCAAGCGUUAAUCGGAAUUACUGGGCGUAAAGCGCACGCAGGCGGUCUGUCAAGUCGGAUGUGAAAUCCCCGGGCUCAACCUGGGAACUGCAUUCGAAACUAGCAGGCUAGAGUCUUGUAGAGGGGGGUAGAAUUCCAGGUGUAGCGGUGAAAUG
RNAcentral lists this ribosomal RNA (530 nucleotides) under uncultured bacterium. RNAcentral describes it as "bacterial SSU rRNA". It matches the Rfam family "Bacterial small subunit ribosomal RNA", at positions 163 to 688 of the family's 1533-position model. The record is from RNAcentral.